Molecule: ribosomal RNA, 270 nt
Filed under: uncultured bacterium
Lineage: Bacteria
Description: partial 16S ribosomal RNA
Rfam family: Bacterial small subunit ribosomal RNA
Source: RNAcentral
AAUCAACGCUGGCGGCGCGCUUAACACAUGCAAGUCGAACGAGAAAGUGGAGCAAUCCAUGAGUAAAGUGGCGUACGGGUGAGUAACACGUGGAUUAUUUGCCCUUGAGUGGGGAAUAACAAUGGGAAACCGUUGCUAAUACCGCAUAUUCCCGAGAGGGGAAAGCAGCAAUGCGCUCAAGGAGAAGUCCGCGGCCGAUUAGCUAGUUGGUAGGGUAAUGGCCUACCAAGGCUGCGAUCGGUAGCCGGCCUGAGAGGGCACACGGCCACA